UUUUAGUCGAGGGGUCAUAUCAACCUCAACAAACAAACCACUGGAACUGGGUAGUGUUAGCUCUUAACCUUGCCAUUGAGGGGCUAAGGUGAAGCUGAUGAAAGGUGAGUGAAGAUGAGACUUCACAGCUCUUAUCCCUGGCCUGGGAGAACUUAAGACAAGAAUGUGUGGGUUUAGAAAGGAGGAACCCUUCUACACAUUUGAAACUGACUCAACUGUACAAUUGUACAAGAUCUUGGGUUUGUAUCU
RNAcentral lists this long non-coding RNA (249 nucleotides) under Lathyrus oleraceus (garden pea). Its description in RNAcentral is "Pisum sativum (pea) long non-coding RNA (PSAT_LNC033102)". The record is from RNAcentral. Lineage: Eukaryota; Viridiplantae; Streptophyta; Magnoliopsida; Fabales; Fabaceae.